GAGGCUUCUUGGCCUUUUGGCUAAGAUCAAGUGUAGUAUCUGGUAGCUUAAAGAGGCUCUCUCCACCUUUUAGUUUCCCUCUUUUAUCUUCUUCUAUUUUUGUACUUUUUCUAUUUUUAUAAAGGUUUUAUAACUUUUAUUUGGAAGCCACCCAGAGUCACUCUUAUAGUGAGAUAGGUGGUAUAUCA
This is a small nuclear RNA of Candoia aspera, 188 nucleotides long. RefSeq annotates it as U2 spliceosomal RNA. The transcript has a single exon. NCBI's taxonomy places the organism in Eukaryota, Metazoa, Chordata, Lepidosauria, Squamata, Candoiidae. The record is from RefSeq and is a predicted model, not a curated record.